GGGGGGCCGGCAAGACAGACGGAACGGGGGUGCUAAAGCAGGAAAGGGGGCAAGAAAGCAAGGAAGAAAAGAUGCAGCCAGAAAGAAAAGAUAGUUUGUAGAAGAAAGCCAUGUUGAAAGAAAGGAAGAAAUAAAUGUAGAGAGUCCCAUCUGACUUUUCAGAUUCAUUAUUUCUGUAUCCUCCUUGUGUUCACCAUUCUGCUUCCCGCUCCCUGUAUCCCUCAGCUUUUCUUGCCAGACUAAGUGGGUUUAGGUAGCUUAAAAGCCAGCAAUAAGUGCUUGUUCUUAAACUCUUGAAGUGUUUCACUGCAGUUAAAUGUUUUUGCAUUCAUAUCUGCAGGAUUUGACCCAUAAUAUUGUUUUGCAUUUGUAGAAAAAUGCAUUUUAAAUACUAUUGAUAGUGCUCAGUGUAUUUAUAAUGCCUGCAUCGUGGUAGAAGGAUGAUGAAUAUUCAUCGUCAGUGUAUUUCUGGAGUUUAGAAACAGGGGAGAGCACACUUUACAGCUUAAGGCCUCAUACAACAAGACCACAUUAGACUGUCCUCUGAUCACAUUGAAUGUCCUACCUGAUCCUGAGAAACCUGUCUGCUUGAAUGUAAAAUACAACAAAAAUGCUUCUUUUCCAGCAGGAGGUACCUUCCCUGAUGUUAUGGUUAGUGUCCUUUCUGAAGAUGACACCGUUCUUGAAAAUAUUAAUCCAGCACGGAUUUCUAUGAAGACGUGGGAAAUGCAGAGCAGCAGAACUAGGAUGCCAGUUGAUGUUGCAACAUUUAGCUGUAGCAGAGUGAAGGAUGACAAGGAAGAUGGCUUCUUCUACUUCAGGUAUAAAAGGCAUUUCUGGGUCAAUACUUAAAGUUGCAGUAAUAUUGUAUAGACAUGAUGUGCCAGAACCUAGUGCUGGCUGAAAACAGUCCUGAAGGCGAUAGCACUGAAUAUAUUCUUGUAUUUGAGGCAGAUGUGCCAGCUUUGAAGAAACCUUUGGAACCAUACUGUCUGUCGUUUAUGUUUUACAAUGAAUAGGUAUUUAUUUCUGUAGAUUUCAAGAAGCAGCAGCAGAUGGCAGCACUUACAAGGGAGAGAGACCCAUUAUCACAGUCCAUAGGUGUUUACAGAAAUUGGUUUGAUACUACUCAUCAGUUUGUAACUGAAAUUAAAUGAGAAAUAGAUACAAGGUUCUCCUUCUGUGCUGCAGCAACUCUUGCACUUCUGGGAAAGCUGGAUGCUAUCGAUGUGGGGAAGGCAGUAGAAUUUGUUCUGUCCUGUAUGAACUUUGAUGGAGGAUUUGGCUGCAGACCAGGUUCUGAAUCACAUGUGGGACAGAGCACCACUAAUUUUGCAGCUGCAAGCCCAGAAAGCUGCCAUCUGCUCAAAGUUAUUACUAAACUCAGGAUUUUAACACCACUAGAAAUAGUAAUGUCGAACACUGCUUGUGAUGCAGGGAGCACAACAAAAUUAUUCAGUCUGAUUACAGAACACUUUAAGGUGACUUGGGCAUCACACGCAUUCAGUGACAUUGACCUGCGUAUCUUCAUUCCCUGUUGACCAUGGAAAGCUUGAUAAUCAUCCCUUUAGCUUAAGCCUUGGCAAAGGAAAACUACAGCUUGAAUGUGAGAAUGUGGCUUUUACAACUGUCCAAAGAAAAUACUUCAAUGAAACAAAAGGUUUGGAAUACAUAGAGCAAUUGUGUGCAUCUGAAUUCAGCACCAUUUUCAUAGAGAGUCAAUCAAAGUGUGUUUAACUAAGGAGAAGACACCGUGUCCAGAUAAGUUUUUAACAGCUUUUUUACAUUGUUAGUACACAAGUCCGGGGCUUGUUGCGGAAGUUAGAAUAUCAUAACAGAGCUAUUGUUUUAUUUUGCUCUCCAGGGUCAGUGUUUCUGAUAUUGCUAGAAAUUUAAAUAGAAGCCUGUUAUUUAUUGAGUUUAGUUUUCAGAGGUUUCCUCUUUCUCCUUUUUACUCUUUCCUUGACAAUACACCUUAACAGCUGUAGUUGCCUUUCUGGCCUCAGGAAAUGUUGUCCUUGUACCAACCAUUUUACAUAGUGAUACUUGGUGACCUGAGUCUUCAUUUCAAGCCACACGUAACUACUGAAAUAUGUGUGUUCACAAUACCAGCUGUGUAGUGUGGGGUGUGAAGUGUACAGAUACUCAAACAUUCAUCAAUAUUUACAUGCAUAGAUGUGCACUAUAUGUGGGUGGUGAGUAUUUAAAACAUGAUGCUUUGGCAGUGCUGUCAGCCCUCAGUAGUUGUAAAGCAGAAGUGUGCAUGUGAUUUCUUUAGUGCACCGCUUGGCCUUGUGGGAUUUAAAUAGCAUGCUCAUUAAAGAUUGUUUCUUUCCAAAGUACUACUGUCUUGCAGCUGCUGCAGCUUUGCUAAAAUAUGUUGAAUUUAUUCAAAAUUCAGUUUAUGCUCCUAAAUCACUCCAGGUGUGUUUUCAGGGGAGGGAGAAAACUGCUAUGAUAGAUUCAUCAUCGGCAUAAAACCUCGAUCUAGUCAUUAAUAACAGAGGUUCUCGGUAAGAAUAGCAAGUUUACAAAUUACAAUUUUAUAAAGUCAUGUUUCACCGAGUUCCCUUGAUGCUUGUGUCAAAGAGCUGACCAUUUAUAUUUAUUUCUGUAUUGCAGAACUUGCAUACCAUUCAGAGCUAUAAAAAACCCACCUAUCUGAACAGAGAAAUGCAUUGCAACUCAGCACAAAAUGUCUAGCACAGGAAAUCCUAGAAGUGAAUUGCAGGAAGAAAUAAUACAUAGUAAUCUUUACAUUGAUGUCUGUAUUUGAUACAAAUUUAGAAAUCACGUUGAUGCAAAAUUUGCGUAAUAUGAAAUGGAGAAGGUGACAUUUCUGCAAGAAGUUGCAUAUAUUGGGUUAAAAUGCCUGUGUUUUUAUUAAUUUUACACAGGAUAAACGUGGACUUGGAAGACUGUUUUGUUUUCCUUUAGCUCUAAGGGAUAGUGGCAGACAAAGUAAUUUCUCUACUGAUGGUCACAUGCAAUGAGGUACUUGAUUGCAUAGAAGUGCUCCAGAGGGAGAACAAUGCUUGGAGCACUUGAUGCACCCAGAGUUCCUUGCCUUCUAGGCAGCAGAAGCUGCAUGACUUGCCUGCUCAAGCCUGUUACACUUUUGGUUAGAAAAUCUCGGCACUUGCACUUUGCUGCCUGCCAAGUUCUGAUCUCCACCUCUGUUCAGAAGGCCGCUUGUCACCCUGAUAUAAAAAGGGGAGCCUGGCGAUUCCUUAUUCUCCAUGUAUGACUUUUAAAAAGCUUUCCACUUGGAGAGAUGUCAUAGAAUCUUAAAAUGGCUUGGAUUGGAAGCGAGCCUUAAAGUCAUCUCGUUCCAACCUCCCUGCCAUGGGCAAGGACACCUUUGACUAGAUCAGUCAUCUUCAACCUUCUGCUACUGCCCUUUCCCUUUUCCUUCCUUCUUCUUUUUAAUUUUUGAGAGGAACAGAGAGUACACAGUUAGAUCUCUUCCUCAGAAGUGGGAGAUAACUGUAGUUUCUUUCUGUUCAUCUGUCAUGCUGUGUCCUCAGUUCCUUCUUGUUUGCUCUGGUGCUUCACAUGGAACUGCAGGAGCCAGCCACUCUUAAGACUGGUACCACCAAUGCAAUAUUUCUCUGAAAGCUGCUCCCAAUUCCACAGGUGGUUUUGAGAGGAAGGAGGUCACAGGAGCAACUGAGAACAGUAAACUGCUUUAAGAUUCUUUUAGCAGUAUUGCUGCAGAAUUUUUAUUGCCCCAGUGGCAAGUUUGAAUCAGGCCAUACACAGCAAUUUCCAUCUUAACCCAGAAGCCUGCUUGUGUAUCUUUGUGUCAGCUAUUAACAGGCAAAAGUCAAUAGUACAGGCACACACUAGAAACACCUAAAUCAAGUUCUGUGCCAGUAUUAAUUCUGGAGGGGCUUGUCUCUUCAUUUACUGUACAGGGAAAUGAGCCCUCAGUUGCUUAAAGGUAGGCAGCAUGGACACUAUCCCAAAUGUAGAGUUCCCCCUAAGUGUUGUCAUGAGUUGCAUUUUGUGGUAAAUAUGUCCUUAAUUAAACUGGUUUUGAAUUUGCCCACCUUUCUUAAAUCUCCUGACUACUGCUUUGUUCUUUUAAAGCAUGGUAUUUCAGCAGUGUUUGUAUUAUCUAUCUGUCUUUAUGCUGUUAGUUGCUUGUAUUUGUAUCAGAUUUCUUCCUGUUCUGUUUUCAGUCAGUAUGUUUAUAUGGCCCCAGUGUUUUUAUUUGCCUUCUUUCAAGCCAACAGCAUUGAAAGUUUCAGGUAUUUAGAACUAUUUAGGUAUGUACUGGAUGUAAAUAUUAUAGACUGUUUUUUUUUUAAAACAGAUACAGUCAACCCUCAAGUGUGAGACACUGGGAUGUGUAACAUGUAAAAGCCCUGAACAUGCAAAUAAUUGAACAGUCACACGCUUUUUUGUGUCCUGAAUUACACUAAAACUCCGGGAGGAGGUCAAAGACUUAGAUCCAAUAUCCUGGAGCCACUGGCUCAUACUGUAACAACAUGAGAUUGGACUGUGUUCAGGAAUUACUCCAGGAUGAGGAGCUCUUUUUUUGGCCUUCAAACAGGAGAGAAAUCUCAACAUAGAAUCACAAGUAGGUGACAAGGGCAGCAAGAGCUGUGGCUCUUUUUUUGAGGACAGCCCAACAAUGCUCUCAGAAAUUACAGAUGCAGGAGCCCCUGGCAAAUGGUUUAAAUGACAAAGAGGAUACAUCAAGAAAUCUCCAGCUGUUCUGUUCUUUCUUAGAAGGACUAACAGCUCUCCAAGUAUUUCAAGUCCUUUUGCUCAGAUCAGUAAGACCUGCAGUGAAACAGAACCAGUCCAGAACCUAUUCAGGCUGCUGGGUUCUUCAGUGUCCUAAACCGGGAGCGUAAACACUGCAGAAAUCUGCACUUCCUGUGUUCCCUUUUUCAGGGACAGAGAAAAGGACAUGUCUGGUCAUCAGUGCAUGAGGUGAACAGCUGGACCCUCUGGUUCCAGUCACCAACAGCCAGUUGUGUUUUCUCCUCACUUGUGGAAACUAAAAAAGUGAAACC
Apus apus (common swift) is the source of this 5027-nucleotide RNA transcript. RefSeq lists it as uncharacterized. The transcript has 15 exons. NCBI's taxonomy places the organism in Eukaryota, Metazoa, Chordata, Aves, Apodiformes, Apodidae. The record is from RefSeq and is a predicted model, not a curated record.